Phalacrocorax carbo (great cormorant) is the source of this 1384-nucleotide non-coding RNA. The record is from RefSeq and is a predicted model, not a curated record. Lineage: Eukaryota; Metazoa; Chordata; Aves; Suliformes; Phalacrocoracidae.
CCGCCAGCAGCCACCGCCACCACCACCGCCGCCGCCCCCCCGCCGACAUCUUGUGCGGCAGGGCCCGCGCCGCGCCGCGCCGCUCCCGCAGCACCCUCCUGCGGCCGCCGCCCGCCCCGCAGCGCCCCGGGAGCCACGAAUACUCGCAGCAGCCCCGAUCGGUACAUGAAACCACCGGGGCGGAGGCGGUGCGAUCUCUCCAUUUAUUAGAGAAGAGAGAAUCCACGGGGGAGCGUGCCCGUGUUAAUGCUCCCGUUGCAGGGGAUGCUUCAUUUGGGCACCGGGGUUGAGCAGCAGCAAGACCCCAAGUCCUAGGAAAGCAGACCUCAUUAGUUGUGGUGCUCGUGGGAUUCGCUUUGACGUGUAAGUACGCGGAGCUGCUAUUAAAUUCUGUGUUUCCCAGGCAAGGUUUUAAUUAGGCAAAGAUUUGAAUGUGUAUUUAAGUUUAUAUCAAUGGCCCUCUUUAGUAGAGGUGCUUUUUGCAGCUGUGCUCGUUUUCUGUUCUUGGCGGUAGACUCCUUCAGUGAGGCAAUGCAAACUUGUGAUUCUUUAAAACAUAUGCUUGUAAACUUUCAUUGCAUUCAUGCAAAUUAUUUAAGGAGUACAGGUUCAAUGGGAGAUGGGGAGGAAUGAAUCUCACAGAAGCCUUUGCUUUUCACACGGUUAUCACAUCCAUCUGAUCGACCUUGCCUUUCCAUAGCUGUGAAGAACAGAUCACAAGGACCGGGUGCUGGUAUGGUUUCUGCUUAAUUGCUCCAUGAGGAUAUGCUGCAUAUUUAAUCUAGAAUAUAAACUUUUUUAAAUACAAGUGGACUGAAACCCUGGGUAUUUUCAGUUUAUAUUUUUUCCUAGACUCCUUUUUUUUAUCUUCACCCUAAGAAAUCUGAAGGAAUGAUGAAAAUGGGUAUAAUGGGCCUUAAGGCCCAAAUGAAUUUUUCAGACAGAGUAUGUAAUUUUGCCAAAAAACUUAGCAAAAUUGAAUGCAUGACUACCUUUUCGUUUAGCACAUGGCCCUGUCUACAUCUGCUGUAAUACCACGCUUUUGAAUAUUGAUUCCUACUUCAGUGCUUCAGCUGAGACGGAAGAAUGUAGAUGCAAGUGGAAAAUAAAUGCAGAUUUCCAAAACCAAAAUGAGUGAAAGCUUGCUAGGGUCCUGACAACUGCUUUUCUUUAGGUCAGGAAAUGUCCCUUCUUAAAAUAAUCAAGCAGUUGUCCCUUCCUGAAAUAAUGACCAGGCCCAGUCAACUCCCUGCAGACAAGCUCUUCACAAAUACUUAAAAACCCAAUUCCCUGGUGUUUCAGGGAAUUUCCCCAUGUUAUCUGAUGCCUGUGAGAGACAAUUUCAUCCUCUGUAUUUACUAUUCAAUAAAAAUUUAUGCCAGGG